RNAcentral lists this ribosomal RNA (245 nucleotides) under uncultured bacterium. RNAcentral describes it as "partial 16S ribosomal RNA". It matches the Rfam family "Bacterial small subunit ribosomal RNA", at positions 87 to 334 of the family's 1533-position model. The record is from RNAcentral.
UCUGGCGACCGGCGCACGGGUGAGUAACACGAUCCAACCUGCCGAUAACUCGGGGAUAGCCUUUCGAAAGAAAGAUUAAUACCCGAUGGCAUAAUUAGACCGCAUGGUCUUAUUAUUAAAGAAUUUCGGUUAUCGAUGGGGAUGCGUUCCAUUAGGCAGUUGGUGAGGUAACGGCUCACCAAACCUUCGAUGGAUAGGGGUUCUGAGAGGAAGGUCCCCCACAUUGGAACUGAGACACGGUCCAA